RNAcentral lists this ribosomal RNA (252 nucleotides) under uncultured bacterium. Its description in RNAcentral is "partial 16S ribosomal RNA". It matches the Rfam family "Bacterial small subunit ribosomal RNA", at positions 524 to 776 of the family's 1533-position model. The record is from RNAcentral.
UACAGAGGUCCCAAGCGUUGUUCGGAUUUACUGGGCGUAAAGGGUGCGUAGAUGGCGGGGUAAGUCUGGUGUGAAAGCUCCGAGCUCAACUCGGAAAAGCAUUGGAAACUAUCCCGCUGGAGGGUCGGAGGGGAGACUGGAAUUCUCGGUGUAGCAGUGAAAUGCGUAGAUAUCGAGAGGAACACCAGUGGCGAAGGCGAGUCUCUGGACGACUCCUGACACUGAGGCACGAAGGCCAGGGGAGCAAACGGG